UUUAGGGUUUAGGGUUUAGAGUUGAGAAAUGAGGUUUUGGGGAUAAGAUUUCAAAUUUUGAAAAAUAAAAAAAUUAAAAUUUACACAGGAUAAACUUAGAAAUGUGCUAUUUUGAUCAUUUUAGUUUUUGAGUGCUAUUUUUGUGAUAUAAACUUAGAAAAAUGCUAUUUUGGAGAUUUGCCCAUUUUGUUUUGCAACUAUGUGUGUUAUAGAUUAAUUUUGGUAAAAGUGCUAUAGAACUCUCUUAUAAAGUUCACAAGUACUUUGACAACAAAAAGUAAUACAUUACGUUUUGCUGAUUUUAUUAUUCUUGAUUAAUAAAAUUAUAUUUGACGUUAAAAUUUAUAAUUUCACGUUGAAAUAUUGUUUUUCUGAAUUUAGUUUCAAUUUGGAGAAAAGGAAACACUCACUAUACAAAUAACAUUAUAUUUAUAUCAUUCACUUAU
RNAcentral lists this long non-coding RNA (446 nucleotides) under Brassica napus (rape). Its description in RNAcentral is "long non-coding RNA (BNAP_LNC010779)". The record is from RNAcentral. Lineage: Eukaryota; Viridiplantae; Streptophyta; Magnoliopsida; Brassicales; Brassicaceae.